RNAcentral lists this ribosomal RNA (354 nucleotides) under uncultured bacterium. Its description in RNAcentral is "bacterial SSU rRNA". It matches the Rfam family "Bacterial small subunit ribosomal RNA", at positions 29 to 410 of the family's 1533-position model. The record is from RNAcentral.
AACGAACGCUGGCGGCAUGCCUAACACAUGCAAGUCGAACGAGACCUUCGGGUCUAGUGGCGCACGGGUGCGUAACGCGUGGGAAUCUGCCCUUGGGUUCGGAAUAACAGCGAGAAAUUGCUGCUAAUACCGGAUGAUGACGUAAGUCCAAAGAUUUAUCGCCCAAGGAUGAGCCCGCGUAGGAUUAGCUAGUUGGUGAGGUAAAGGCUCACCAAGGCGACGAUCCUUAGCUGGUCUGAGAGGAUGAUCAGCCACACUGGGACUGAGACACGGCCCAGACUCCUACGGGAGGCAGCAGUGGGGAAUUUUGGACAAUGGGGGCAACCCUGAUCCAGCCAUGCCGCGUGAGUGAAG